UACAGAGGGGGCAAGCGUUGUUCGGAAUUACUGGGCGUAAAGGGCGCGUAGGCGGCCCGCUAAGUCGAACGUGAAAUCCCCGAGCUCAACUCGGGAACUGCGUCCGAUACUGGUGGGCUUGAAUCCGGGAGAGGGAUGCGGAAUUCCAGGUGUAGCGGUGAAAUUCGUAGAUAUUCGCAAGAACACCAGUGGCGAAGGCGGCUCACUGGCCCGAUACUGACGCUGAGGUGCGAAAGCGUGGGGAGCAAACAGG
Molecule: ribosomal RNA, 253 nt
Filed under: uncultured bacterium
Lineage: Bacteria
Description: partial 16S ribosomal RNA
Rfam family: Bacterial small subunit ribosomal RNA
Source: RNAcentral